ACUUAGCCUUGUCCCUACCUCUUUACUCCUCUGUAGGCAGUAAUUCUUUUUUCUUUUCUUUCUUUUUUUUUUCUUUUGGUGUAACAGUAUCGCAUGAGCCAAGACUGUCAUGAAACUAUUUGGAUACUGUACUCUGGUUCCUUCAUCUCCUCCAUCUGCAUCAGCCUAAAUUGUCCUAUUUUUAGGUUUUCUAGUUCUGUUGUGCCCUUUAUUCAAUGCAAGCCAUCAACAAGUUCCUUAAACAUAAAACUCUGUGACACUCUAAACUGCAAGACAAUGUGACAAUGAGUAUGCCAGUCUGAAAAGAACAAAGGAGCAGGGUUCAGAAGAACUGGCCUUUACCAGCUCUGUCAUUUUCCAGUGGUGUGGCCUUGCAGAGGUCACUUCAGUUUUCCAGGCUUUGGCCAAAGAAAGGUGGGGGCAGGUGGUACCUUCCCAGCUCAAGUCUUCUGGAAUAGAGCGUACGCCCAUGAAGCCCUGCACCUGUUGGAGCUUCAUAGCUGUAAUCAAGUCUGUCUUUUGUUACAGGAGCCUCUGCCAUGAACCCGGGGAUAAGUGAGGAAAGAAAUUUUUCCUCCUUCACAGUAUCAAGUGCCAGGCCAGGGCACUUUGUCCAGGCCUCACUGUGAAGAAAGAGUAAUGUUCAAGGAUGGCAGCAGGAAGGACCCUAAUGAAGAGGUUUAUCUGAUUGGUUUACUGGAGUCCUAUGUGGGAUGAAUAGCUUCAGCCUUUGCGCUUGCACCUCUUUGCUGUCCACUCCAAUCAAGAACGGGGGCCCUCGCAACUCUCUCAGUUCUGAAACAAAUUAAAUCUCAGUGACAGACU
This 825-nucleotide long non-coding RNA is filed under the name Homo sapiens (human). RNAcentral's name for it is "HSALNT0365642". The record is from RNAcentral. Lineage: Eukaryota; Metazoa; Chordata; Mammalia; Primates; Hominidae.